RNAcentral lists this ribosomal RNA (254 nucleotides) under uncultured bacterium. Its description in RNAcentral is "partial 16S ribosomal RNA". It matches the Rfam family "Bacterial small subunit ribosomal RNA", at positions 524 to 777 of the family's 1533-position model. The record is from RNAcentral.
UACGAAGGGGGCUAGCGUUGCUCGGAAUCACUGGGCGUAAAGCGCACGUAGGCGGAUUUUUAAGUCAGGGGUGAAAUCCUGGAGCUCAACUCCAGAACUGCCUUUGAUACUGGGAAUCUCGAGUCCGGAAGAGGUGAGUGGAACUGCGAGUGUAGAGGUGAAAUUCGUAGAUAUUCGCAAGAACACCAGUGGCGAAGGCGGCUCACUGGUCCGGUACUGACGCUGAGGUGCGAAAGCGUGGGGAGCAAACAGGG